CCCCCUCACACCAACAUGAAUGGUCAGCUGGAGGAAGAUAAAGAUUUGAUGAUCAGAUCUCAGAAGCUCAGUAGGGCUGGGCCUGGUUAGUACUUGGAUGAGAGAUCGCUGGGAAUACCACGU
Molecule: ribosomal RNA, 123 nt
Filed under: Periophthalmus magnuspinnatus
Lineage: Eukaryota; Metazoa; Chordata; Actinopteri; Gobiiformes; Gobiidae
Source: RNAcentral